ACGCGCACUAUACAUUCCAUGACUUCCGGGCACUUCGUAAGGUUUAAAUAAGGAUGCUUUGCGUUCACUCGCCCUUUUGAAGACAAGAUUCGCGGUCGUCUGUUCCUCCAUUAGGAUUUGUUAAGGAUUCCAAGUAACUCUUGGAAAGAAGACAGUCUGCACUUAACACUUCAGCAUUGAUGUUUACUUUUGGGGUCCUUUAUAUAGUUGGGAGAGUAGGUAAACCGAUUUUUUUUUUUAACAGGGAGGUUUUGACAAUCUUUGGCAGACUUACAGCGAAAGAUUGGGGUGCAUUUCAUACUUCUUUGAGACAGUCUUGCUCUGUUGCCCAGGCUGGAGUGCAGUGGAGCAAUCUUGGCUGCAACCUCAGCCUCCCAAGUAGUUGGGAUUAUAGGCAUAAGCCACCACGCCUGGCCCUCAUACCUCUUUUAAGAGUCUGCUGUUUUGUAUUAAAGACUUUGGAAUUUGGCAUUUGGUUAGGAAUGCACCACCUUAACCAGAGAAGUGACUCUGCCUGGCCUUACGCCAAAUUCCAGAAGGCACACAGUGUUGGUGGGUAUUUUAUUUUAUUUUAUUUUUUAUUUUUAUUUUUUUUUUGAGACGGAGUCUUGCUCUGUCGCCCAGGCUGGAGUGCAGUGGCCGGAUCUCAGCUCACUGCAACCUCCGCCUCCCGGGUU
Piliocolobus tephrosceles (Ugandan red Colobus) is the source of this 677-nucleotide long non-coding RNA. RefSeq lists it as uncharacterized. NCBI's taxonomy places the organism in Eukaryota, Metazoa, Chordata, Mammalia, Primates, Cercopithecidae. The record is from RefSeq and is a predicted model, not a curated record. The transcript has 3 exons.